UCAGUAGCUCAGUGGUAGAGCGGUCGACUGUUAAUUGACUGGUCGUAGGUUCGAGUAUUUUUGA
Molecule: transfer RNA, 64 nt
Filed under: Vitis vinifera (wine grape)
Lineage: Eukaryota; Viridiplantae; Streptophyta; Magnoliopsida; Vitales; Vitaceae
Rfam family: tRNA
About the family: Transfer RNA (tRNA) molecules are approximately 80 nucleotides in length.
Source: Rfam by way of RNAcentral